UAGGGUCAGGAUGGAGUAAGAUCACUUAGGUACAGCUUAAGAGCCGCCCCCAAGAAGGAAAGGCAUCAUCCAGUGUCCCCGACCCAGGACCCAAGGGGAAGAGGCAGAGGCUCACACUGCCUCAAAGUGAUUCCCACGCCCUGCGUGGCUGGAAGAGCAGUGACCCAGAGUAACGGGAGACGUGGUGAACGAGAGCAGCAGGCAACCUGUCAUCUAGUCCUGUGGGAGAACCAACCCUUCCCAUCCCGCUGUGCAGUUUUCAGAAGUUCGUGCCAUGCUGAGGACCAGGUUCACCGACAGCCUCACACUCAGCUCCACAGCAGCCUCCUCCCAAGGACUGACAUAGCGCUUCAAGGAAAGUGGGGGCAAACGCCCUGAGCUCACUGGUAGUGAGUUCCCGGAAUGAGGUAGGGCUUCCACAUGGGAAGCAGGCUAGCACUAAGCUAUUAGGAUGUGGACGUUUGCAUUGCCGACCCUGAAGCUCGUCACUCCAGGUUAAGCCUUCCAAUCACAUGCGGCCCUCGCAAGCCUCCAUCCUGUGUUUGUUCCUUCCUACUUUCCUCUUCGCAGCAUUGCCAGCGACGACCCUCUUCCCAAUGGAGCCGAGGAAGCAGAGGACAAUCAGUUGACAGAAACACAGAUCUGAAAUACCUCCCCAAGCAGAAGGACUGAGAGAACUUUCCUGGCUGCUGGACGGUGAGAACAUUAAGAGCCUUACUUGCAGUUACCCUGAAUCUACACCGUCUGACCUCGGCCGAGUGCAACUGGUUCUUACAAAACAAACAGCGACAAACAAAACGGCAAUGAGGAAUUCUGACGGAGGGAGAUCAGCAAAUGUUUAAUCAGGAAGCUCCGUAAAAAUCCCGUCCCCGAACACUUGACCGCAAGCUCAGUGCUGAAGAGCGCUGCUUCCUGGAAGGCUAGCCCGGGCCCUGCUCCUCAGAACCACCCUCACAUGCUUCUCGGCCUUCUUGCUUCUCUAUCAGCUGUCACUCAGGAGGGACUGCCGGUUUCCCAGGCAUUCGUGGGAAUCUCAAGUCACAGCUGUCCCGGGGUCUUCAAACUGAAGGUCCUUUCUUUCGAGGGAGACACACAUCCCGCGUGCUCGCCCAGAGUGGGAGCGUGCAGUUACGUUGAAUCCCUGGCGGGCUAGGCCCUGUGGCCUGACGCCGUCUGUGUGCGGGUCCUAUUCAUGACGUUGCUCCCACCCAGGCUGCGCUGCCCCCGUGAGCGGGCAGAGCACUUGUCUGAACGUGGCGGAGCGGCCCUGACACAGUCCUGGCGUGAGCACAGUGAGGGGGAGAGGCGAAGGCGCCCGCCCCGGCCUGCUCUGCAAGGGGCCGAGAAAGGCCUAACCCUCUAGGCACACAGAGAGUGCCGACUAACUUCAGCUCAGCCACGGCGAGUGGGAGGAUGCCAGAGCAGGGCACGGUGAGCGGAUAAGCCCUACCCAGCUCUCGUCACCACUCCUCCAACCUGGAGCUUACUCAUUCCCACUUCAGGAACUUGGGUUACCAUUUGCAAAGCGGGCGACUGCAUCGUAGCUCCCGGAGAUACGCAGAGGACUAUCGACAGGAGACAGCGUGCACUUAUUGCUGCGUGGAGCAUUUCACAACAGUUCCGCUUUGACGGGCAGUGUUCGGGACAGGUCCUGUCACACGCUCACUAGAAUGCUGACCCUCCGGACCACAAGCCCUGCCACUGUGAGAUGUUAAGAUUCCCUUCCAGCAGGUGAGCCCUUCCCACCCCACGCCCGGCUGAGCCAGCCCAGAUGAGAAGAGAGCCCAGCACCGGCAGCCUUGAAUUACCUCCGAGGAAUCCAGCAGAGUCCAGCCCCAGCUGCCAUCUGUCCACAGCGAAAUCUCAUCUCACCUAGAGGACCAGAGUGGAGAAAACAUUGCUACUUCAAAGAAGAAGACCCUACAAGACACACAGCUCCUUCAUGAGCAGUCUCCAAGUGCAUGAUCUUAGAGGAGUCAUAUUACCCUAUCCAGACCCUUUUAUUGGAAGGUCUUCUUAAAGCCAGGAGGUUUCUAAAACCCACCCAACCAUAGUUGCAGCAGGGUUUUUGUAAGAGGCUUUUUACAGGAAAAAAAAAGUCAGUAGCAGUCAUCCCGGGUGGAACAGAACUGCAGCUGCAGCCUUUGACAGAUUGCAGGAUGACAGGAAGAAGAGUUAAGAGGACAGGACAGGCUGCGGGAUUCGAAGUUGGGCAGAGAUGCUGUGCAUUUUCAAGAGCGAAAGGAGACCACUGCGGACCAGAGCUGUGGGGGUCCGUCCGUCCAGCACAGCCGUCUGAGUUACAGGUGUGCUCCGAGCGUGGCAUUCAAAGCAGACCAGAGGAUACUAAGAACCAGAGUGAUGAGAGAGAGCAGAGACCCAUCAGCCUCCAGGCCAUCCGGAGGCGACUUCAUGGCACACGCGAGGAGCAGCGCCGUGGACGACUCUCCCUCCCGGCUUCCUGAAGGGCUGGUUCCCAGCGUGUGACAGUACACACUCUCCCCGGGAGCGAACAGCAGCGGAGCGGUCCCCGAGAAAUGCCCGGGUCUGGAAGGCAGGCGGUCCUUCUCCCGGCUCCGCUGUGCAUACGCACCUGCCGUGGUGCAGCCGGCGGUGAACCGUUCCUCGCCACGCCCAGGAGUCGACGGCUGACCUGGGAUGUCGGUGGGCACGCGCGUGGGCAUGUAACCGCUCUCUUCAGUGUUCUGUGGGCGCUCCUUAUCAAAAUGCCUCCAUUAUUAAACCGCCUCCCACAGCGUGGGUGUUUAGGAAAAAGCAGUAAGAGCUGUCACGACCCCAGACUGCUGCUCCCCCCCCAGGAUUCAGAGACCGGAGGGGAGCGGUGUGUCUGUAACGUGUUCUUCUCGCUGAGCUGCUUAGACAGGUGUGUCAGGCCUCCCCUUAGCCAAAGGAAAACCAUCUCAUCGGGGCUCGGCCCUUUCCUGCCUCCGGCAGAGGGUUGCAAUCCGGCAGCUUGACGGCCCCUGGGUAGGCUCGCAGAGCCCCAGAGGGCCUCCCCAUGCAGCUCCCCGACACAUCCCUGCUGGACUCCUUCCCGCCCGGGUAGCACUCUCAAAGCUGGGAGAGGAGAGCUUCUCCCGCCUUCCACGCAAACACCCAGUAGACUCUCCGGCCACCUCGAGGAGGAUGACACGAACUUACUGAGGCAGAGAGGACACGCUGACAGAACUGUCGACCUCGACUCAGCUCCAGUGGAGGUGAGACCCGCCACCCCACCCCGGGGCCCACCCAUGGUCGCAGCUGGGCCAGCCAACAGGUGGCUGGAGGAGAUAGGCUGUGAGCGGUUCUAAAAGCUCCAUUUCAAGCACUGCUGGCCAGAACGGUAGAGCAGGCACGGGAUGUGCUGGCGGUUUAAUUUCCUUAGGGAAGAAUAUGAGACCAGAAGGCCCAGCCAGGCCCAGCACCCCCAGGGCCUCGGCCAGAGGAGACUGCUCACACUAGCCAUUCUGGAUCGGCGCCGGGAGGGGUCCAUGACAUUCAACCCAUGAACUGUGAGGAAGAGUUAGAACAAGAGUUAGAAGAGACUGAAAUGAAGUGGAAGCUUGCUCUAUUUCGGAAAAGAAAUAACCAUUAACUACGGUGAGAAUAAUAAAGACAACUCAUCAACAACCAUUUCCUGAAAGACUAUUUUUAGUGAAGCACUUCAUCAAGUAAUAGGCCUCAAACCCUAGGGAGGGUCUCAGGAGGUAAAGGGAAGAGACCGAGCAUUCCUAGCUAAUGUGAACACCAUGCACGCAGGUGAGACCCAGGCAAUCCAGGGCUAUGGAGAAGACGCGUCUUAUGGGACGGAGGAGAGAAUGAUGAAGAGAGGAGAGAAAUGAGAAGUGUUAUUUGCAUCACUGGCACGAUCUACCAAUGGCGACCCAAUUAAAUGCUAUAGACAGGAAGGCACAGGGGUCAGGAAGGAGGUGAGAAAGGAUAUUCCCUAAUAUGAAAAGAUAAUUUGGUAUAAUGGAGAAAGACAACACCCACUUUAUGUUUUUUUAGUUUUUGUUGUUGUUGUUGUUUUUUGAGAGGUUUUUGCUCUAGUGCACGUGGGCUCACCAGAGAGACAGAGAGACAGAAAGUGAGAAAUCACCCCCCAAGGGGGA
This is a long non-coding RNA of Tupaia belangeri chinensis (Chinese tree shrew), 4112 nucleotides long. RefSeq lists it as uncharacterized. The transcript has 8 exons. NCBI's taxonomy places the organism in Eukaryota, Metazoa, Chordata, Mammalia, Scandentia, Tupaiidae. The record is from RefSeq and is a predicted model, not a curated record.